GCUUAAAGGGGCCGUAGCCGGACCGAUGUGGCUCCCGUGAAAUCCACGGGCAUAACCCGUGGGCGCGCGGGGGCUACUAUCGGUCUUGGGGACAGGAGAAGCUAGGAGUAUUCCGGGGGGAGCGGUGAAAUGCUGUAAUCCCCGGAGGACUACCCGCGGCGAAAGCGCCUAGCUAUCCUGCUCCCGACGGUGAGGGCCGAAAGCUGGGGGAUCAAAUGGGAUUAGAGACCCCAGUAGUCCCAGCUGUCAACGCUGCGGGCUAUCUGCCGGGAGGGCUUAGAGCCCUUUCGGUGGAGUAGGGAAGCCGUUAAGCCCGCCGCCUGGGGAGUACGGCCGCAAGGCUGAAACUUAAAGGAAUAGGCGGGGGGGCAUACAAGGGGUGGGGUGUGCGGUUUAAUGGGAACUGACACCGGAAACC
RNAcentral lists this ribosomal RNA (418 nucleotides) under uncultured Nanoarchaeota archaeon. Its description in RNAcentral is "SSU rRNA". It matches the Rfam family "Archaeal small subunit ribosomal RNA", at positions 508 to 926 of the family's 1478-position model. The record is from RNAcentral. Lineage: Archaea; Nanobdellati; Nanobdellota.